AUCCAGCUGACGAGUCCCAAACAAGAUGAGACUCGCGUCCUGGAU
This 45-nucleotide non-coding RNA is filed under the name Schistosoma margrebowiei. The record is from RNAcentral. Lineage: Eukaryota; Metazoa; Platyhelminthes; Trematoda; Strigeidida; Schistosomatidae.